RNAcentral lists this ribosomal RNA (1308 nucleotides) under Triticum aestivum (bread wheat). RNAcentral describes it as "partial small subunit ribosomal RNA". The record is from RNAcentral. Lineage: Eukaryota; Viridiplantae; Streptophyta; Magnoliopsida; Poales; Poaceae.
AUGGCAAUGGAGAGGAGCACGGCGGAAACGCUGCCGCUGCCCCCGCGCCUCUCGGCCUCGCCAACUUCCUCGCCGGCCACCGUCGGCGCCCACCUCACCAAUGCUGCCUGCGCCAGCAGGAUCCGGCGCGAGUACCGCUCACCACGGUCCUUGCUGUCGCGCAUUCUCGGCAGGGGCAGCAGCAGGUUCGGCUGCCGCCUGCGCAUUCCCCGCUACUGCUCCAGCGGCGCCGGAGCGGCCGCCAAGGAGGACGCCGUAGAGGAGGUGGUGGCCGCGCCGAAGGUCGUGGCGAGCAAGCAAGAAACAGAGGUUCGCGAGUCGCCUCGGAGUUCCCUGCAGGGGAUGAAGGCGGCGCCGGAGGUGUCGGCGGCGAGCCUCGGGCUGGGCGCGGGCCUGGUGCUGCUGCUGUCCAGGGGCGCGGCGGAGCUGAGCAGGAUGGCGGAGCUGCGCGCCCAGAUGGAGCGGCUGGUGAUGGACGUCAAGGCGGAGGCGCGUGGUAGCACCCGCUCCGACUUGUCUGACGGCGGUCAUGUCGACGACGGGGCCAGCGUCGUCAAGGAGCGCAUCGUCUUUAAGGACGCCGGCGGCGAGGACGCCCCGUUGUCCCGUGGUUCGCGCGAUGCCGCCUCGGCGUGCGGCGAUGCCGGCGUUGGAGAUGCCGCCGCGGCCUUGGAUCAAAUGGAAGCAGAGCUCGAGGCUGAACUGAAGCGCCUGCAGGUCGACUCCGACCACGACGAUGAGGAGGAAUGUGUUAGACCGCGGCGAGAUCACCAGCUCGAGUCGGAGGCCAAGAGCGACAUCUCCUCGGAGAGCGGCUCCCUUGCUUGCGUCGACAUAGACGGUGACCAAGACAUAGACGCGGCAACAGAAUGCAAGGAACACGAAGACAACGAGGAGGACGAUGAGGAGGAAUGCGUGAGACCGCGGCGAGAUCACAAGCUCGAGUCCGAGGCGAAGAGCGACAUCUCCUCGGAGAGCCGCUCCCCUGCUUGCGUCGACAUCGACGGUGUCCUCGGCGACGCGGCAAGAGAUUGCAAGGAACACGAAGACAACGAGGAGGAGGAGGAGGGAGACACUGACGAGGAGGAUGAAGAGAGCAAGGCGUGCCACGGCGGUGUGCCGGCCCGGGUGCUGGAGCGGAGGCUGCACGAGCUCCUGCAGUCGCGGCACGAGCAGCGGAUCGCGGAGCUGCAGACGGAGCUGCAGCGCGCGCAGAGGAAGCUGCGGGACAAGGAGCGCGAGGUGUCUCGGUGGCGCGACACAGCCAAUCUCGUCUCCAACCACAAGGAUGAGUCGUUGCUCAGGUAG